Long non-coding RNA from Mirounga angustirostris (Northern elephant seal), 2022 nucleotides. RefSeq lists it as uncharacterized. Lineage: Eukaryota; Metazoa; Chordata; Mammalia; Carnivora; Phocidae. The transcript has 3 exons. The record is from RefSeq and is a predicted model, not a curated record.
CCAGAGAGAGAUGGCAACUUUCCAAAGCCAUAGAGAGAGAGAGCACAUGUAGGCAGAGGGAGAAGGAGAAGCAGGCUCUCCGCUGAGCAGGGAGCUGGACGCGGGGCUCGAUCCCAGGACCCCAGGAUCAUGACCUGAGCUGAAGGCAGCCGCUUAACCGACUGAGCCCUCCAGGCGCCCUGAUUGAAGCUGUGGUUCUCAAAUGCCUAACGUCCCUGGAGGCUGUCACUCAGUGGAUCUGGAAGAGGGCCAGGAAAUUUGACUCUGAAAUGGCACAGCCAGACAUGGGAACCCCUGGCUUAGGCUGUCUUCCACUUAAAGGCUAGCCGACUGCAAGUCUAUACCCAGACCCGCUCAGAUCUCCUCCAGUCCAUUCUCCAGGCAGCAGACAAAUCUUACCAAGUUAUGUCCAGCUCAUCACUUUCCACUGGCUUUCCACUACCCCUGGGGUGAAGAUCCAAGCCUUUCAAAUGGCCUGUCGGAUCCUGACUGCCUCCCCUCCACCCCACCCACCGUGCUUUCCCAGCCCUGUGUUAUAGGCACACCUGCAGCCCUAUAGGUCCUCAAACUCACCAGCACCCUUCUCACCCAUCUUCUCCGCCUCUUUUUUACCUCCCCUACAGUGCUUACCCCUCUCCUUUUUCCCUUUCGCAUAAACAGCUGCUCCCUCCUCUCCUUGCAAGCUGUGCGGGAAGGCAUGUCCUGGAGUAAUGUGGAAAACAGGAAGGGAGGGAGGAGAGCACUAUCAAGCGCCAUCCCCGUGCCCUGUGCUCUUGGGUGUUUUCGCACAUUUAUCUCAAUUUACUCUCAUAAGCAUCCUGUGACCUUCUCAGGGAAGUGUGGCUUGCCCAAGGUUCCACAACCACCCAGUGGCAAAGCCAGCAAUCUGAGUUCUGUUCCUUCAGGCUCCAAAGCCUGGGGAAGAGAGCUGCAGAGCACGGGGAAGAUAAAAAGAAAGGAGGAAAGAAAAAGAAGGCCAUGAGAAUUAAACAAACAAAAAGUCCUGCAAAAAAACACAAAAACUCAACACCUAGAUGGCGGCUAUCAGGGCCUGGGUGAAUGAAAUUAUCUUCAGUCAUUUAUGCCUAGUUGACUACAAAAUAAAUAGAUCAGGAAUAGAAAGGGGCCGCUUCCAUUCUGGGCUGCCACUGGCAGUGUAUACACGAAAGCGGAGUAAAAGCAGCCCAAGCUCUAGGCCCACCUUGCCUUGCCGGGGAGCGGAGGGCCAAUGCCCCCAAACAGCCAUGCUGAGCGGGCACAGUGCGGCCACAGUGGAGCCUGCUGCGUUGACUUCACACCAGUUUCCAGCAGACCUGGCAACAUUUCUAGAGCUUGGAGUUUGCAUAAAUAAAAACGAACUCCACACUCCAAGAGGUUACUCUUGGACGUUGAAAAGUCUUAAUCAAAAUCAAUGCCAAAAUGAGGAAUGGAGCAGUUGCAACCCCCCAGGCACAGCACAGUCCUCUUCGUUUCAGACAACGGUGUCAGUGACUACCAACGAUCCACCUCUCGUUACCGACUGGAGUCACCAAGGGCCAGAAGAACUGAGCUGGAAAUGAGCCAGCAUCGUUCUUAGAAAAAUCCUGCAGAAUGGAGCUGGCUAAUCUUUUCAGUCCUUCCCAAUGCACUCAUUGCUUCCAGAGUUUUAUGAAGAUUCUUUGUAACUCCCUUUUUUGGAGAGCACAGAAGCUCCAUUUCACCAUUUUAAUUAAAAGUGAAAGAGAAAAUAAAACCAAAAUUUACUAGUAUCCCUUAUGUGCCCAGAACUGUGCUAGUGCUUAGUAAAUGUGAUAUAAUCUGUAUGUUAAUUCUAGGAGUUUAUUAUAUAAUUAUCCCCAUUUUACUUGUAUAAAACAUGAAAUUCAGAGAGGAUUGGUAACCUGCCCAAGGCCACACAGUAACAAGUGACAAGAGCUGCCUCAAAUCUUUUGUAAAAGAAGCUAAAGAAUUAAUGGAUGAAAAUGUAAUUAAGAAGCACUUUUGUAAAAUGUGCUUUUGUAAAAUGUAAUUAAUGCUUUAAAA